RNAcentral lists this ribosomal RNA (515 nucleotides) under Clavispora sp. RNAcentral's name for it is "partial large subunit ribosomal RNA". It matches the Rfam family "Eukaryotic large subunit ribosomal RNA", at positions 84 to 668 of the family's 3401-position model. The record is from RNAcentral. Lineage: Eukaryota; Fungi; Ascomycota; Pichiomycetes; Serinales; Metschnikowiaceae.
UAACGGCGAGUGAAGCGGCAAAAGCUCAAAUUUGAAAUCCUGCGGGAAUUGUAAUUUGAAGGUUUCGUGGUCUGAGUCGGCCGCGCCCAAGUCCAUUGGAACAUGGCGCCUGGGAGGGUGAGAGCCCCGUAUGGCGCACGCCGACUCUUUGCACCGCGGCUCCGACGAGUCGAGUUGUUUGGGAAUGCAGCUCUAAGUGGGUGGUAAAUUCCAUCUAAAGCUAAAUAUUGGCGAGAGACCGAUAGCGAACAAGUACAGUGAUGGAAAGAUGAAAAGCACUUUGAAAAGAGAGUGAAACAGCACGUGAAAUUGUUGAAAGGGAAGGGCUUGCAAGCAGACACGGUUUUACCGGGCCAGCGUCGAAAAGGGGGGAGGAACAAGAACUCGAGAAUGUGGCGCGCACCUUCGGGCGCGCGUGUUAUAGCUCGUGUUGACGCCUCCAUCCCUUUUCGAGGCCUGCGAUUCUAGGACGCUGGCGUAAUGGUUGCAAGCCGCCCGUCUUGAAACACGGACCA